AGCUCGGUGGUCUAGGGGGUAUGAUUCUCGCUUUGGGUGCGAGAUGUCAAGGAGUUCAAAUCCCGGCCGAGUCC
This 74-nucleotide transfer RNA is filed under the name Caerostris extrusa. Its description in RNAcentral is "tRNA-Pro". Lineage: Eukaryota; Metazoa; Arthropoda; Arachnida; Araneae; Araneidae. The record is from RNAcentral.